CGCCAUUACAUAGGAGGAGCAGGCGCGCAAUUACCCAAUCCUGACAUAGGGAGGUAGUGACAAGAAAUAACAAUAGUUUUGCUAUAUGUGAAACUAAUUGGAAUGAGUACAAUUUAAACAUCUUGACGAGGAACAAUUGGAGGGCAAGUCUGGUGCCAGCAGCCGCGGUAAUUCCAGCUCCAAUAGCGUAUACUAAAGUUGUUGCAGUUAAAAAGCUCGUAGUUGGAUUUCUGCUCUGAGAAGGACGUCCGGGCGCUUAGCGUUGCAGAACAGUCCGUCUUGAGCAUCUUGUUCGAAACCCCGGCCUCAUUAACUUGGGGACGUUUUGGGUGAAGGACUCGUUUACUUUGAGAAAAAUAGAGUGUUCAAAGCAGGCAAAUGCCUUGAAUAAGUUAGCAUGGAAUAAUGAUAAAGAACUUCGGUUUUAUUUUGUUGGUGUUCUGAACUGAAGUAAUGAUUGAUAGGGACAGUUGGGGGCAUCAGUAUUCUGAAGCGAGAGGUGAAAUUCUGAAACCUUUGGAAGACUAACUGCUGCGAAAGCGCUUGCCAAGGAUGUUCCCUUUGAUCAAGAACGAAAGUUGGGGGAUCGAAGACGAUCAGAUACCGUCGUAGUCUCAACUAUAAACUAUACCAGCUAGGGAUCGGCCGGCGCUAGAAUAUAAGAGCCCGGUCGGCACCUUAUGAGAAAUCAAAGCAUCUGGGUCCCGGGGGGAGUAUGGUCGCAAGGCUGAAACUUAAAGGAAUUGACGGAAGGGCACCACCAGUCGUGGAGCCUGUGGCUUAAUUUGACUCAACACGGGAAAACUUACCAGGUCCAGACAUAGUAAGGAUUGACAGAUUGAAAGCUCUUUCUUGAUUCUAUGGGUGGUGGUGCAUGGCCGUUCUUAGUUGGUGGAGUGAUUUGUCUGGUUAAUUCCGUUAACGAACGAGACCCCAGCCUGCUAAAUAGCGCCGGUGAGCAUCUGCUUGCCGAGAGCUUCUUAGAGGGACUAUGGAUUCGCUUGCAGACCAGGGAAGUUUGGGGCAAUAACAGGUCUGUGAUGCCCUUAGAUGUUCUGGGCCGCACACGGGCUACACUGACGCGUGCAACGAGCAUAUCAGCUGGUCCGAGAGGAUCUUGGCUAAUCUUUUGAACUCGCGUCGUGCUAGGGAUUGACUAUUGCAAUUGUUAGUCAUGCAACGAGGAAUGUCUUGUAAACGCGGGUCAUCAACCCGCAUUGAAUACGUCCCUGCCCUUUGUACACACCGCCCGUCGCUCCUACCGAUGAAUGUUCCGAUGAAAUUUUCGGAGGUGGCCCUCGACCCGGGCCCUGCCUGGGGAUUCGGCUUUACCAUAGUGCUAAAAUCUGAACCUUGAGA
This 1359-nucleotide ribosomal RNA is filed under the name uncultured marine eukaryote. Its description in RNAcentral is "SSU rRNA". It matches the Rfam family "Eukaryotic small subunit ribosomal RNA", at positions 408 to 1777 of the family's 1831-position model. The record is from RNAcentral.